Molecule: ribosomal RNA, 579 nt
Filed under: Triticum aestivum (bread wheat)
Lineage: Eukaryota; Viridiplantae; Streptophyta; Magnoliopsida; Poales; Poaceae
Description: partial small subunit ribosomal RNA
Source: RNAcentral
AUGUACAAAGGCGCCAAAGGCGGUUGCAGUGUGGUACUUGAGGCGGUGGCCACACAGGACCUCUGGAUUUGGCACUCCUUCUUUGGUAUACCAGGAACUCACAAUGACAUCAACGUGCUGCAGUGCUCUCCUGUCUUUGCCAAGCUUGUUGAAGGUCAUUCUCCUCCGGUGAACUUCGAGAUCAAUGGGCGGCACUACAACAAGGGGUACUAUCUAGCUGAUGGCAUCUAUCCGAGAUGGUCGACAUUUGUGAAGACGAUCUCAAACCCUGUGCCAGGAGGCAAGAACGCCUGGUUUGCGAAGAUUCAGGAGGCUUGCAGGAAGGAUGUCGAGCGGGCAUUUGGUGUGCUCCAAUCUCGAUUUGCUGUUGUCCGGUACCCCGCUCAGACCUGGUCCAAAGAUCAAAUGUGGGAGAUUAAGACUUGCUGUGUCAUCUUGCACAACAUGAUCAUCGAGAGCGAGCAAGAAGACCCAGUGUUUGACACUGAACCAUACUACAACGAGGGUCCUCUAGCCGAAGUUGAUCACCAGCUACCGGCAACCUGGACUGCCUAUCUCAGUAUGCGUCAGGAGAUCUGA